GAUGAACGCUGGCGGCGUGCCUAAUACAUGCAAGUCGAGCGAACAGACGAGGAGCUUUCUCCUCUGACGUUAGCGGCGGACGGGUGAGUAACACGUUGAUAACCUACCUAUAAGACUGGGAUAACUUCGUGAAACCGGAGCUAAUACCGGAUAAUAUAUUGAACCGCAUGGUUCAAUAGUGAAAGACGGUUUUGCUGUCACUUAUAGAUGGAUCCGCGCCGCAUUAGCUAGUUGGUAAGGUAACGGCUUACCAAGGCGACGAUGCGUAGCAGACCUGAGAGGGGGAUCGGCCACACUGGAACUGAGACACGGUCCAGACUCCUACGGGAGGCAGCAGUAGGGAAUCUUCCGCAAUGGGAGAAAGCCUGACGGAGCAACGCCGCGUGAGUGAUGAAGGUCUUCGGAUCGUAAAACUCUGUUAUUAGGGAAGAACAAAUGUGUAAGUAACUAUGCACGUCUUGACGGUACCUAAUCAGAAAGCAACGGCUAACUACGUG
Molecule: ribosomal RNA, 497 nt
Filed under: uncultured bacterium
Lineage: Bacteria
Description: partial 16S ribosomal RNA
Rfam family: Bacterial small subunit ribosomal RNA
Source: RNAcentral